ACUAAUCGAACCAUUUAGUAGCUGGUUCCCUCUGAAGUUUCCCUCAGGAUAGCCGGAAUUGCAAAGUUUUAUCAGGUAAAGCGAAUGAUUAGAGGAAUCGGGGGCGUGUUGUCCUCAGCCUAUUCUCAAACUUUAAAUGGGUAAGGUCCAAUGGUUGUUUUGUAAACUUUUGGGGAUAAUGAAAUUCUAUGUGGGCCAUUUUUGGUAAGCAGAAUUGGCGAUGAGGGAUGAACCUAACGUUGGGAUAAGGUGUUUAACUGCUCGCUCAUCAGAUAUCAUAAAAGGUGUUGGUUCAUUUGAACAGCAGGACGGUGGUCAUGGAAGUUGAAAUCCGCUAAGGAGUGUGUAACAACUCACCUGCCGAAUGGACUAGCCCUGAAAAUGGAUGGCGCUCAAGCGGGUGCCCGAUACCCAUUUCCCAGGCCAAAAUUGUUUUUUUCCCGUGAAAAUAAGGGGUUUUCGGCCUCAAGG
Molecule: ribosomal RNA, 471 nt
Filed under: Gonyaulax polygramma
Lineage: Eukaryota; Dinophyceae; Gonyaulacales; Gonyaulacaceae
Description: partial large subunit ribosomal RNA
Rfam family: Eukaryotic large subunit ribosomal RNA
Source: RNAcentral